CUAAUGACUCAUUUGUCUUUUCAAAACUACUGUUGUAUGGAAGUUUCUCAAUUAGGACAUUAUUUUUCACCAGUGAUUGUAUUCUGCUACCGUGAAGUUCUUAGUCCAGACACAUAUGUCUUAGAUGGUCCAAUUGAUGAGGCCUCUUAUGGUGAUGAUGAAGUCUCUUAUGGCUAUGGACACCUGAUAAGUACUCGGCCAAUGGAUCUUUUGAUAGUGGCGUAAAAUACUUUGUUUGUUUUGUUCUUCUAGCUACUUACUUAUCUUCUCUGCUUCCAUAUUUUUUUGUUAUCACACUAGUUUUUUUGGUUUGAUGGAUGUGUAGACCGUACGGUGACACUGUUAUGGACGUUCAAAUUUGGAAAUUUCAAAGGUUGGUUAACCAACAUGCGAUCCUCUGCCACCUUUUGGACUUUUUGGUGCUUGCACUGCAAUCUGGAUAUUGUCUGGGCUUCGAAAAGGGGGUUUUCGGUCUCGUCUAUGGCAUAUCUAGUCAUUAUUUGGGUGGUUUGGGGUUUGUCAGAUUUGCACUUAACUGUUCCCUUCUUUCUGUUCUUGCAGCCUUUGGCUACAGGGCAGUUAAUUGUUCUUUUCAUGAGGCGGCUGUGUUUGUUCAUUUGUGUUGAGGUUUCUUUAGUUAAGUCUUUUGUGAGUACUGCAAUUUUUAAUUUCAGUUUUCUUCCCGUAUGGCUCUCUUUUCUCCGUCAAAACUAUUGUUGCAUGAAAGACUGACAGUUUCUCAACUAAGAUAAUAUUUUUCACCAGUGUGUGUUGUGUUCUGCUGCCAUGAAGUUUUACCAUGGAUGUCAUUCUUAGCUGUCAAGAAUACAUGGAUGGGCAUCUAGGUGCAAGUCGUUCUACAGGAGUAAGUGUCUUGCUUUGGUGUUCGUCUCGGGAAGGAUGCAACAGUUCCCAGGUUUUUGACUAUAGGUAUUGGAUUUUUCAGUCUCUCGAAGUUUUGUCAUUACUGCUUAUGGAAGUUCUCAAUUAUGAUAUUUCUCUUCACUUGUGUGUGUAACGCUGCCAGUUUUAGUUCAUGGUUCAGAUGCUCAUGUUCUUUGAUAAUCCUGCUAUCUCUUGUGGUGUUAUGGGCACUGUAUAAGUAGUCAAAAGUCAAUUCUGGAUCUCUGAUAGUGCCGUAAAGUGCUCCUCUGGCUUUUGUGUCCUAGCUACUUAUUUUCUCUCUGCUUUCGUUUUCCCUUGGUUAUCACACCUGCUUGAUCUUGUUUAUUGGUGAAUGUAUGUGUAGACCACAUGGUGAUAUUAAUAGAGGAUUAGUUUUGGGAACUUCGAAUGCUUGUAUCCGCCUCCUUUCUGUGCUUGCAGUUGGGUCUAACCGAGCAGUGAACUAUCCUUUUCAUGGAGGGGCUUUGUUUGGACAUUUGUGUUGAUGUUCUUCUACUUCAGGUUUUAUGAGUACUGAGAUUCUCAUUUCAGUUUUCUUCCUCAAUCAGAGUGGUCCCUCCUCUCUUUGUCAAAAAUUGCCGUUAUAUGGUAGUUCCCAGCUAAAUUAGUUUUUCUUGCACUAGUGUGUGUUGUAUUCUGCUCUGCCAUUUUUAGUUUGUAGAUCGGAUGCUUGUGUUCUUCGAUGAUCCAAUUGAUGAGAUUACGAGAUUCCUGGUUGGUUGAUGGGUAUAUGGUCUUAUUGACACCUGAUAAGAAAUCAAAACUCAAUCCUAGAUCUCUUGACAGCCCCAUCAAGUGGGUCCGUUCUCUGCUUCCUGUUUGUUUCACCCCAGAUUGAUUUUAUUUGUUGGAUGGAUGACAGUAGAGGAUUAGAUUUGGAAAAUUUUGAAGGUUAAUGCCCAGUGUCCAUUCUUGUGCAACCUGUUUCUAUGCCAUUUUUGUGCUGGCACUACAAUCUGAAUAUUAUUAGGCGAGAUAGAGGGGUUUCUCAAUCUUGAUUCUUUGCCAGUUUUGUGGAUGCACCGCAAUAUGGAUAUUAUCAGGAUAUGAGAGGGGUUUUUCAAUCUUAUCUUGCAUUUUCUAGUGGGUUUCGUCAGCUUUGCAAGUAUUCUUUCCUUUAUUCCUUUGCUUGCAGCCAUUGGGUCUUACAGAGCAGUGGAUUCUUCUUUUCAUGGAGUGAUCUUGUUUGUCCAUAUGAGUUGAGGCCUUUUAAGUUCAGUCUUUUAUGAGUAUCGAUAAUUUUCAAUUCAGUUUUCUUCUCUCAUGGCUCCUCUUAUCUUUGUCAAAACUACUUUUGUAUGGAAGUUUCUCAAUUAGGAUAUUAUUUUUGACCAGUGUGUUGUAUUUUUCUGCUGCCAUGAGUUCUUUGUCCAGAAGCAUAUGCUCUUGGAUGAUCCAAGUUGUGAGGUGUCCUAUGGUGAUGAGGUCUUUUGUGUGGGCACCUAAAGAAGUACUCGGCCAAUCCUAGAUCUUUUUAUAGUGAUGUAAAAUACUUCUUUACUUUUGUUCUUCUAGCUACUUAUUAUCUUUUGUCUUCCAUUUUUUUUAUAUUAUCAUGAUAGUUUGUUUUGGUUGGAUAGAUGUGUAGCCAUAUGGUGGUGGUACUGUUAUGGACAUUCAGAUUUGGAAAUUUCAAAGCUUGGUUAUAAUCAACAUGUGAUCCUCUGUCACCUUUUGGUCUUUGGUGCUUGCACUGCAAUUUGGAUUUCCGGGCUUUGACAUAAGGGGGUUUUUAGUCUUGUCUAUAGCAUAUUUAGUGAUUACAUGGGUGGUUUCGGGGUUUGUCAGAUUUGCACUUAACUGUUUCUUUCUUUCAAUUCUUGUAGCCAUUGAACCAUAGGGCAGUGGAUUAUUCUUUUCAUGAAGCGGCCGUGUUUAUCCGUUUGUGUUGAGGUUUCUUUAGUAGAGUCUUUCAUGAGUAUUGAGAUUUUCGAUUCUGUUUUCUUUCCUUAUAGGUCCCUUUUCUCUGUCAAAACUAUUGUUGUAUGGAUGUUAUUUUGACUAAGAUAAUAUUUUCUUGCAAGUGUGUAUUGUGUUCUGCUGCCAUGAAGCUUUUAAUCCAGACAAUUUGUUCUUCAAUGAUCCAACUGAUGAGUUCUCUCCUCAUUAUGGUUAUAGUCACUUGAUAAGUACUCGAUUUGUGGAUCUAUCUCUUCAUAAAGUGCUUCUCUACUUCUGGUCUUCUAGCUACAUAUGUUCUUUGCUGCCAUUUUUUUUGUUGGAUGGAUGUGCAGACUAUAUGGUGACAAUAUUAGAGGUUAAGAUUGGGAGAUUGAUAAGGUUGAUAUCCAGUAUGGUAUCUCUGUACCCUCUUGGUCUUUUUGGUUCUUGCACUGCAAUUUGGAUAUAUUGUCGGGGCUUAAACGAAGAAGGGUUCUUUAAUCUUGUCUAUGUGGCAUCUCUAAUGAUUUCUUUGGUGUGGGCUUUCAUCAACUUUGAACUUGAUUGUACCCUUUUUUUUGUGCAUGCAGCCAUUGGGUCUUAAAGAGCAGUGAAUUAUUCUUUUCAUGGAAGCCACUUGUCCAUUCAUGUCGAGGUUGCCUUAGUUCAGGCUUUUAUGAGUACUGGGAUUACAACUAAAAUAGUUUUUGUUUUUACUACUGUGUCAUUUUACUGUCAUUUUUGUUUUUUAGUCCAGAUGCUUAGUCUCUUUAAUUAUCCAACUGAUGAGAUUCCAGAUGGUUGAUGGUUAUGGUCUUAUGGACACCUGACAAGUACUCGCUGCUCAUUUUUUCUUCUUCCUUUUUGUUGUAUUAUGCCAGCUUGAUUUUGUUUGUUGGGUGGAUGUAUGGUGAAAGUUGAGGGGAUUAGGCCUGGAGGAUUUUGAAGGUUGGUGUACCGUUUUGCAUCGUGUGCACCCUGUUUCUUGGCCAUGUUAGUGCAUGCACUACAAUCUGGAUACUAUCAGAGGCUUCGAAAGAAGGCGGUUCUCUAUCUUGUCUGGCAUUUCUUGUGAAUUCUAGGUGGUACAGGCUUCACCACCUUUGCACUUAACUGUUCCAUUUUUUCUGUGCUUGCAGCCGUUGGGUCUUACAGAGCCGUAGAUUCUUCUUUUCAUGUAGCGGCCUUGUCUGUCAAUUGUGUUUGAGGUUUUUUGAUUGAUGCUUUAAUGAUUAUUGAGAUCUCCAAUUCAGUUUUCUUCCACUAUCAGAUGGUUCGCUUUUCUCUUUGUCAACACUGCUUCACUAGUGUGUAUUUUGUUACAGUUUUUUAAGUAAUCCAGAUGCUUAUGUUUUUUAAUGAUCCAACUGAUGAGAACUCCAUGGUUAUGGACACUUGAUGAGUAUAUUCAAACUCAGUCUUGGAUCUUUUGAUAGCCCUGUAACGCACUCUACUUUUGUGUUCUAGCUGCUUAACUUCUCUGCUUUCGUUUAGCUUACCAGUUGAUUUAGUUUCGGUUGAAUGAGUGUUUGUAGGCCACAUGGUGGUGAUAUGAUAGUAAGAGGGUAAGAUUUGUGAAUUUUGUGCUUUGGUUUCGAUGUGCAUCCCUGUGGACCCUAUUUCUUUCCAUUCUGGUGCUUGCACUGCAAUCUGGAUGAUUGGGUAUCACCAGGCUUCAAGUAAUGGGCGCUUUGCAAUGUUGCAUUGUUUGGCAUCUCUAGUGAUCUCUCUUCGUGCAUGUUUCUUGUCCAUGUUGUUCUUGCACUACAAUCUGGAUAUUACCAAGAGGCUUUGGAAGAAGGCGGUUCUCAAUCUUGUCUUGGUAUUUCUAGUAAAUUCUACGUAGCGUGCUUCACCAGCUUUGCACUUUAACUGUUCCAUUCUUUCUGUGCUUGCAGUUGCUGGGUCUUACUGAGCCGUAGAUUCUUCUUUUCAUGCAGCGGCCUUGUCUGUCAAUUUAUGUUGAGGUUUUUUGGUUGAUGCUUUUAAUAAUCAUUGAGAUCUUCAAUUCAGUUCGCUUUUGGUGAGCAUCAUUGUGGACCCUGUUUCUUGCCAUUUUGGUGCAAUCUGGAUAAUUGGAUAUCACAUGCUCCAAGAAGAGGGCAGUUUGAAAUGCUACAUUGUUUGGCAUCUCUAGUGAUCACCCCUGCGUUGUAUGGGUUUCCCAUGUUUUGCACUUACCUGUUUCGUUCUUCUUGUGCAUGUAACUGUUGGAUCUUCCUGAGAAUGAACUUCAAUUCAGUUUUCUUCUUAAUCAGUGGGUCCUUUUUCUCUUUUUGGAAACUACUGUUGUGUGGAAGUUCUCAACAUUCAGCACUGAUAAUAUUUUCCACUAGUGUGUGUGUUGUACUCUGAAGUUGUGAAAUUUUUGUUCUAGAUGCUUAUUUUCUUGGAUGAUCGAA
Long non-coding RNA from Solanum tuberosum (potato), 5189 nucleotides. RefSeq lists it as uncharacterized. The transcript has 5 exons. The record is from RefSeq and is a predicted model, not a curated record. Lineage: Eukaryota; Viridiplantae; Streptophyta; Magnoliopsida; Solanales; Solanaceae.